This 427-nucleotide ribosomal RNA is filed under the name uncultured Acidobacterium sp. RNAcentral describes it as "bacterial SSU rRNA". It matches the Rfam family "Bacterial small subunit ribosomal RNA", at positions 958 to 1385 of the family's 1533-position model. Lineage: Bacteria; Pseudomonadati; Acidobacteriota; Terriglobia; Terriglobales; Acidobacteriaceae. The record is from RNAcentral.
AACGCGAAGAACCUUACCUGGGCUCGAAAUGUAGUGGAAUCCGGUGGAAACAUCGGCGUCUAGCAAUAGACCGCUAUAUAGGUGCUGCAUGGCUGUCGUCAGCUCGUGUCGUGAGAUGUUGGGUUAAGUCCCGCAACGAGCGCAACCCUUAUUACCAGUUGCUACCAUUUAGUUGAGCACUCUGGUGAGACUGCCUCGGAUAACGGGGAGGAAGGCGGGGAUGACGUCAAGUCCUCAUGGCCUUUAUGUCCAGGGCUACACACGUGCUACAAUGGCCGGUACAAACCGUCGCAAACCCGUGAGGGGGAGCUAAUCGGAAAAAGCCGGCCUCAGUUCGGAUUGGAGUCUGCAACUCGACUCCAUGAAGCUGGAAUCGCUAGUAAUCGCGGAUCAGAACGCCGCGGUGAAUACGUUCCCGGGCCUUGUA